UUAUCUCCCGGUGGCAGGCCCUGUUUUGGGUAUUGAAAAAAUAUCGCGUCCAUCACUGGACCUUGGACAUUUCUCCUUGGCGCGUUUUUGUAGAACAGCCUCGUUCUGAAGUCCUUGCCGAAUGCAGGAUAGGAAAUAUUUUCUGCUUCUUAUUCUGUGCCAAGAAACAUUCGCACUCAAUUUUCAAGUUAUAUGCAAAGAAUCAACGAAACCUUAUACUUAACACCAUCGUGCGAAUAGAGACAAGAUACGGAAAGCAUCUACAGUGACGUUUCGUGGACAAACUCCUUUCUGCUCUCUACAAAGUAAAGUUCCUGCUCUUCGCGAAGAAUCGAAAGGAGGUGAAGAGGAGAUUUAAUUUGAGGGGUUUUGGUAAUUUCAAGAGAUCAUUCUUAGAAGACAGGGUAGACAUGCAGGCAAGGUAUCUGUAUGGUGAAGAUAAAAUGGUAAAAUAAAAUGGUAAGCUUUGCAAAUAUGAUACAUUUUAUAUGUUAAUUUAUGCCAUUGGAUAUAAUUUUUUACAUUGUCCAACUAAUCCAGCACGAUGGUAGCAAAGAAAUCCUACAAAUCCUAAUUAUAGGCCAACGUGGCUUGGCGUGCCCCUUUUUCUAAAAACAAAUCUAAUCUUUUUAGAGAAAAAAGAAGAAAAGGAGCAUCUAGAGAUCAGAGGAGUAAACAGUGACAGCCUGCUUGUGAUGCCACCAUUCAUCAGAUACUGGCAUGGCACGCCGACAUGUCCCUUCUUUAGAAUGCAAUGCGACAUUAAAAGGGUUACAGAGCAAGCUACCUUUGUAUGUCCAAUCAGAGAAAAUGGGCCGACCGUUGCACCAUAU
Rhopilema esculentum is the source of this 833-nucleotide non-coding RNA. NCBI's taxonomy places the organism in Eukaryota, Metazoa, Cnidaria, Scyphozoa, Rhizostomeae, Rhizostomatidae. The record is from RefSeq and is a predicted model, not a curated record.